This 232-nucleotide ribosomal RNA is filed under the name uncultured bacterium. RNAcentral describes it as "partial 16S ribosomal RNA". It matches the Rfam family "Bacterial small subunit ribosomal RNA", at positions 99 to 334 of the family's 1533-position model. The record is from RNAcentral.
CGGACGGGUGAGUAAUGUCUGGGAAACUGCCCGAUGGAGGGGGAUAACUACUGGAAACGGUAGCUAAUACCGCAUAACGUCGCAAGACCAAAGAGGGGGACCUUAGGGCCUCUUGCCAUCGGAUGUGCCCAUAUGGGAUUAGCUUGUAGGUAAGGUAACGGCUUACCUAGGCGACGAUCCCUAGCUGGUCUGAGAGGAUGAUCAGCCACACUGGGACUGAGACACGGUCCAG